RNAcentral lists this ribosomal RNA (735 nucleotides) under uncultured bacterium. RNAcentral's name for it is "bacterial SSU rRNA". It matches the Rfam family "Bacterial small subunit ribosomal RNA", at positions 505 to 1240 of the family's 1533-position model. The record is from RNAcentral.
GUGCCAGCCGCCGCGGUAAUACGUAGGUGGCAAGCGUUGUCCGGAUUUAUUGGGCGUAAAGCGAGCGCAGGCGGUUUCUUAAGUCUGAUGUGAAAGCCCCCGGCUCAACCGGGGAGGGUCAUUGGAAACUGGGAGACUUGAGUGCAGAAGAGGAGAGUGGAAUUCCAUGUGUAGCGGUGAAAUGCGUAGAUAUAUGGAGGAACACCAGUGGCGAAGGCGGCUCUCUGGUCUGUAACUGACGCUGAGGCUCGAAAGCGUGGGGAGCGAACAGGAUUAGAUACCCUGGUAGUCCACGCCGUAAACGAUGAGUGCUAAGUGUUGGAGGGUUUCCGCCCUUCAGUGCUGCAGCAAACGCAUUAAGCACUCCGCCUGGGGAGUACGACCGCAAGGUUGAAACUCAAAGGAAUUGACGGGGGCCCGCACAAGCGGUGGAGCAUGUGGUUUAAUUCGAAGCAACGCGAAGAACCUUACCAGGUCUUGACAUCCUUUGACCACUCUAGAGAUAGAGCUUCCCCUUCGGGGGCAAAGUGACAGGUGGUGCAUGGUUGUCGUCAGCUCGUGUCGUGAGAUGUUGGGUUAAGUCCCGCAACGAGCGCAACCCUUAUUGUUAGUUGCCAUCAUUUAGUUGGGCACUCUAGCGAGACUGCCGGUGACAAACCGGAGGAAGGUGGGGAUGACGUCAAAUCAUCAUGCCCCUUAUGACCUGGGCUACACACGUGCUACAAUGGGGAGUAC